UACGUAGGGAGCAAGCGUUGUCCGGAAUCACUGGGCGUAAAGGGUGCGUAGGCGGGUCUUUAAGUCAGGGGUGAAAACCUGGAGCUCAACUCCAGAACUGCCUUUGAUACUGAAGAUCUUGAGUUCGGGAGAGGUGAGUGGAACUGCGAGUGUAGAGGUGAAAUUCGUAGAUAUUCGCAAGAACACCAGUGGCGAAGGCGGCUCACUGGCCCGAUACUGACGCUGAGGCACGAAAGCGUGGGGAGCAAACAGG
This 253-nucleotide ribosomal RNA is filed under the name uncultured bacterium. RNAcentral describes it as "partial 16S ribosomal RNA". It matches the Rfam family "Bacterial small subunit ribosomal RNA", at positions 524 to 776 of the family's 1533-position model. The record is from RNAcentral.